Molecule: ribosomal RNA, 497 nt
Filed under: uncultured bacterium
Lineage: Bacteria
Description: partial 16S ribosomal RNA
Rfam family: Bacterial small subunit ribosomal RNA
Source: RNAcentral
GAUGAACGCUGGCGGCGUGCCUAAUACAUGCCAGUCGAGCGAACGGACGAGAAGCUUGCUUCUCUGAUGUUAGCGGCGGACGGGUGAGUAACACGUGGAUAACCUACCUAUAAGACUGGGAUAACUUCGGGAAACCGGAGCUAAUACCGGAUGAUAUUUUGAACCGCAUGGUUCAAAGGUGAAAGACGGUCUUGCUGUCACUUAUAGAUGGAUCCACGCUGCAUUAGCUAGUUGGUAAGGUAACGGCUUACCAAGGCAACGAUGCAUAGCCGACCUGAGAGGGUGAUCGGCCACACUGGAACUGAGACACGGUCCAGACUCCUACGGGAGGCAGCAGUAGGGAAUCUUCCGCAAUGGGCGAAAGCCUGACGGAGCAACGCCGCGUGAGUGAUGAAGGUCUUCGGAUCGUAAAACUCUGUUAUUAGGGAAGAACAUAUGUGUAAGUAACUGUGCACAUCUUGACGGUACCUAAUCAGAAAGCCACGGCUAACUACGUG